This 757-nucleotide ribosomal RNA is filed under the name uncultured bacterium. RNAcentral describes it as "bacterial SSU rRNA". It matches the Rfam family "Bacterial small subunit ribosomal RNA", at positions 28 to 776 of the family's 1533-position model. The record is from RNAcentral.
GAUGAACGCUAGCUACAGGCUUAACACAUGCAAGUCGAGGGGCAGCAUGUCGGUUGCUUGCAACCGAUGAUGGCGACCGGCGCACGGGUGAGUAACGCGUAUCCAACCUACCCUUGUCCAUCGGAUAACCCGUCGAAAGGCGGCCUAACACGAUAUGCGGUUCUCAGCAGGCAUCUAACGAGAACGAAAUGUGAAGGAGAAGGAUGGGGAUGCGUCUGAUUAGCUUGUUGGCGGGGUAACGGCCCACCAAGGCGACGAUCAGUAGGGGUUCUGAGAGGAAGGUCCCCCACAUUGGAACUGAGACACGGUCCAAACUCCUACGGGAGGCAGCAGUGAGGAAUAUUGGUCAAUGGACGGGAGUCUGAACCAGCCAAGUAGCGUGCAGGACGACGGCCCUAUGGGUUGUAAACUGCUUUUAUAGGGGGAUAAAGUGUGCCACGUGUGGCAUAUUGCAGGUACCCUAUGAAUAAGGACCGGCUAAUUCCGUGCCAGCAGCCGCGGUAAUACGGAAGGUCCGGGCGUUAUCCGGAUUUAUUGGGUUUAAAGGGAGCGUAGGCCGUCUUAUAAGCGUGUUGUGAAAUGUCGGGGCUCAACCUGGGCAUUGCAGCGCGAACUGUGAGACUUGAGUGCGCAGGAAGUAGGCGGAAUUCGUCGUGUAGCGGUGAAAUGCUUAGAUAUGACGAAGAACUCCGAUUGCGAAGGCAGCCUGCUGUAGCGCAACUGACGCUGAAGCUCGAAAGCGUGGGUAUCGAACAGG